This 498-nucleotide ribosomal RNA is filed under the name uncultured bacterium. Its description in RNAcentral is "partial 16S ribosomal RNA". It matches the Rfam family "Bacterial small subunit ribosomal RNA", at positions 30 to 523 of the family's 1533-position model. The record is from RNAcentral.
AUUGAACGCUGGCGGCAUGCCUUACACAUGCAAGUCGAACGGUAACAGAUCUUCGGAUGCUGACGAGUGGCGAACGGGUGAGUAAUACAUCGGAACGUGCCCGAUCGUGGGGGAUAACGAAGCGAAAGCUUUGCUAAUACCGCAUACGAUCUACGGAUGAAAGCAGGGGACCGCAAGGCCUUGCGCGAACGGAGCGGCCGAUGGCAGAUUAGGUAGUUGGUGGGAUAAAAGCUUACCAAGCCGACGAUCUGUAGCUGGUCUGAGAGGACGACCAGCCACACUGGGACUGAGACACGGCCCAGACUCCCACGGGAGGCAGCAGUGGGGAAUUUUGGACAAUGGGCGGAAGCCUGAUCCAGCCAUGCCGCGUGCAGGAUGAAGGCCUUCGGGUUGUAAACUGCUUUUGUACGGAACGAAAAGACUCUGGUUAAUACCUGGGGUCCAUGACGGUACCGUAAGAAUAAGCACCGGCUAACUACGUGCCAGCCGCCGCAGUAA